RNAcentral lists this ribosomal RNA (492 nucleotides) under uncultured bacterium. Its description in RNAcentral is "partial 16S ribosomal RNA". It matches the Rfam family "Bacterial small subunit ribosomal RNA", at positions 28 to 507 of the family's 1533-position model. The record is from RNAcentral.
AUUGAACGCUGGCGGCAUGCUUUACACAUGCAAGUCGAACGGUAACAGGCCUUCGGGUGCUGACGAGUGGCGAACGGGUGAGUAAUGCAUCGGAACGUACCCAGCGGUGGGGGAUAACGCAGCGAAAGCUGUGCUAAUACCGCAUGUGAUCUGAGGAUGAAAUCGGGGGACCGAGCAGCAAUGUUUGGCCUCGCGCCUUUGGACCGGCCGAUGUUGGGGUGGCUAGUGGGGGGGGUAAUGGCCUACCCGGGCGACGAUCCGUAGCUGGACGGAGAGGACGGCCGCCGACAUGAGAACGGGGCCACGGACCAGGGGACUGAGGGAGGCAGCAGAGGGGAAUGUGAGGCAGUGGGCGCGAGCCUGAUACAGCAAGGCCGCGUGCGAGAAGGAGGCCUUCGGGUUGUAAUCCGCGUUUGGGAGGAACGAAACGGUGUCCGCUAAGACCGGGCGCUAAUGACGGUACCGGCAGAAUAAGCACCGGCUAACUACGUG